UGAUUCCACCCCUUGGAUGUCACUGCUUGGCACAAUCCUCUUAUUGUGAAUUUCAUGUCCUCUUUCGUGGUUAGUCGAUAGAGUUGUACUACCUUUAUUCAUCCAGUGUUAUAAAUGUUUGUCCAGUGCUAGCUCUUCACUUGGGGAUUGCACAACAGGGGGUUCGUGCCAAGCUGUGUGCAACCUAAGGGUGGUUUUA
This 199-nucleotide microRNA precursor is filed under the name Physcomitrium patens. Its description in RNAcentral is "Physcomitrella patens miR536a stem-loop (ppt-MIR536a)". Its record names the gene ppt-MIR536a. The record is from miRBase by way of RNAcentral. Lineage: Eukaryota; Viridiplantae; Streptophyta; Bryopsida; Funariales; Funariaceae.